Long non-coding RNA from Lacerta agilis (Sand lizard), 188 nucleotides. RefSeq lists it as uncharacterized. Lineage: Eukaryota; Metazoa; Chordata; Lepidosauria; Squamata; Lacertidae. The record is from RefSeq and is a predicted model, not a curated record. The transcript has 2 exons.
GUCUUCAGGGGCAGAGGAUGAUAGUGGGUCAAAGAAACCGAGUUCAGCUGAAGAAGGCGAAGGGGGGGAUGAAGAGGAGGAUGAAUGAUUGUCCUUUUGUGAAUACUGCUGUAUAUUAUCUAGAGCACUUUAUAAAGUACUAUUGUUGUUUAUAAGGAAUAUUAUUAAAUGCAUUCCUCUGAAAGGUA